Molecule: ribosomal RNA, 488 nt
Filed under: uncultured bacterium
Lineage: Bacteria
Description: bacterial SSU rRNA
Rfam family: Bacterial small subunit ribosomal RNA
Source: RNAcentral
CGGCGCCGCGUGAGGGAUGAAGGCCUUUGGGUUGUAAACCUCUUUUAUCAGGGAAGAAUAAUGACGGUACCUGAGGAAUAAGUCUCGGCUAACUACGUGCCAGCAGCCGCGGUAAUACGUAGGAGGCUAGCGUUAUCCGGAUUUACUGGGCGUAAAGAGGGCGUAGGCGGUCUUACAAGUCGGAUGUAAAAUCUCCCGGCUUAACCGGGAGGGAUCAUUCGAUACUGUUGGGCUAGAGGGCAGCAGAGGGAGGUGGAAUUCCCGGUGUAGUGGUGAAAUGCGUAGAUAUCGGGAGGAACACCAGUGGCGAAGGCGGCCUCCUGGGCUGUUACUGACGCUGAGGCCCGAAAGCGUGGGGAGCGAACAGGAUUAGAUACCCUGGUAGUCCACGCUGUAAACGAUGGACACUAGGUAUGGGGAGUAUCGACCCUCUCCGUGCCGAAGCUAACGCGUUAAGUGUCCCGCCUGGGGACUACGGCCCGCAAGGC